Molecule: microRNA precursor, 98 nt
Filed under: Marmota monax (woodchuck)
Lineage: Eukaryota; Metazoa; Chordata; Mammalia; Rodentia; Sciuridae
Source: RNAcentral
AGUGGGAUAACUGGGUCAAAUGGUGGUUCCAAGUUUUCUGAGGAAUCUCCAUACUGCUUUCCAGAGUGGUUGCACUAAUUUGCAGUGCCACCAGCAGU